AAAAAAGAAACUAUGUUGGAGAUACUGGCUCUGUGUUGGAUCAUCUUGCCUCCUUUACAGUCAUUUUAUGUGAAAUCUUCAUUAGAAACUGACAUUGAGGGCCAUCUAUAUGUUAUAGCUGUUCAAGUGCUACCAGUUCGGUUUAUAUUAUAUCUUCAUGCAACAUCUAGCUAAGGUGUAUAAUGUUAAUAUUAGUUCUUCUGGAUAUCAGUAUGACGAUGUUUGUUCAUCACAGCAUUUUGGAAAUGGAGAAAGGUAUGUUAAACAUAGUUUAAAAAACAUUUC
This is a long non-coding RNA of Xyrauchen texanus (razorback sucker), 285 nucleotides long. RefSeq lists it as uncharacterized. The record is from RefSeq and is a predicted model, not a curated record. The transcript has 3 exons. NCBI's taxonomy places the organism in Eukaryota, Metazoa, Chordata, Actinopteri, Cypriniformes, Catostomidae.